This is a small nucleolar RNA of Grammomys surdaster, 132 nucleotides long. RefSeq annotates it as small nucleolar RNA SNORA17. NCBI's taxonomy places the organism in Eukaryota, Metazoa, Chordata, Mammalia, Rodentia, Muridae. The record is from RefSeq and is a predicted model, not a curated record. The transcript has a single exon.
CCUGCUUCUAGAAGCUUUGCAGGUGUGUCUGCUGUGUCACACUUGUACCAUUUUGUGGCAGAUAGGAGACAGGCUGUCUAGGUCAUAGUGCUCUGACAUAUGAACAUAUGAAUGGGUAGUAGCUAUGAUGGU